CGAAGGGUGCAAGCGUUAUCCGGAUUCAUUGGGUUUAAAGGGUGCGUAGGCGGGGUGGUAAGUCAGUGGUGAAAUCCUGCAGCUUAACUGUAGAAUUGCCAUUGAUACUGCCAUUCUUGAGUACGCUGGAUGUGGGCGGAAUGUGCCGUGUAGCGGUGAAAUGCUUAGAUAUGGCACAGAACACCGAUAGCGAAGGCAGCUCACAACGGCGAAACUGACGCUGAGGCACGAAAGCGUGGGGAUCGAACAGGAUUAGAUACCCUGGUAGUCCACGCCGUAAACGAUGAUCACUCGUCAUUGGCGAUACACUGUCAGUGACCUAGCGAAAGCGUUAAGUGAUCCACCUGGGGAGUACGGCCGCAAGGCUG
Molecule: ribosomal RNA, 368 nt
Filed under: uncultured organism
Description: bacterial SSU rRNA
Rfam family: Bacterial small subunit ribosomal RNA
Source: RNAcentral